GAUGAACGCUGGCGGCGUGCCUAAUACAUGCAAGUAGAACGCUGAAGGAGGAGCUUGCUCUUCUGGAUGAGUUGCGAACGGGUGAGUAACGCGUAGGUAACCUGCCUGGUAGCGGGGGAUAACUAUUGGAAACGAUAGCUAAUACCGCAUGACAACAGUUAUUGCAUGAUAACUGUUUAAAAGGGGCAACUGCUCCACUACCAGAUGGACCUGCGUUGUAUUAGCUAGUUGGUGAGGUAACGGCUCACCAAGGCGACGAUACAUAGCCGACCUGAGAGGGUGAUCGGCCACACUGGGACUGAGACACGGCCCAGACUCCUACGGGAGGCAGCAGUAGGGAAUCUUCGGCAAUGGACGGAAGUCUGACCGAGCAACGCCGCGUGAGUGAAGAAGGUUUUCGGAUCGUAAAGCUCUGUUGUAAGAGAAGAACGAGCGUGAGAGUGGAAAGUUCACACUGUGACGGUAUCUUACCAGAAAGGGACGGCUAACUACGUG
Molecule: ribosomal RNA, 495 nt
Filed under: uncultured bacterium
Lineage: Bacteria
Description: partial 16S ribosomal RNA
Rfam family: Bacterial small subunit ribosomal RNA
Source: RNAcentral